RNAcentral lists this ribosomal RNA (497 nucleotides) under uncultured bacterium. RNAcentral describes it as "partial 16S ribosomal RNA". It matches the Rfam family "Bacterial small subunit ribosomal RNA", at positions 28 to 507 of the family's 1533-position model. The record is from RNAcentral.
GAUGAACGCUGUCGGCGUGCCUAAUACAUGCAAGUCGAGCGAACGAACCAUAAUCUUGCUUCUCUCUUGUUUGCGGCGGACGUGUGUUUAACAUGUGUAUCACCUACCUAUAUUUCUUGUAUAUCUUCGUGAAUCCGUAUCUUAUACCGUAUGAUAUUUUGAUCCGUAUGGUUCAUAAGUCAUUUUCGGUUUUUCUGUCACUUCUAGCUGCAUCGGCGCUUCAUUAGCUAGUUGUUAAGGUAACGGCUUACCAAGGCUACGAUGCAUAGCCGACCUGAGAGGAGGAGCGGCCACACUGGAAGUGAGACACGGUACAGACGCCUAGGGGAGGGAGCAGUAGGGAAUCUUCCGCAAGGGGCGAAAGAAUGACGGAGAAACGCGGAGUGAGUGAAGAAGGACUUCGGAUGGUAAAACACGGUUAUUAGGGAAGAAAAAAAGUGUAAGUAACAGUGAACAUGAGGACGGUAACUAAACAAAAAGCCACGGCUAACUACGUG